UACGUAGGGGGCAAGCGUUGUCCGGAAUUAUUGGGCGUAAAGCGCGCGCAGGCGGUCAUUUAAGUCUGGUGUUUAAUCCCGGGGCUCAACCCCGGAUCGCACUGGAAACUGGGUGACUUGAGUGCAGAAGAGGAGAGUGGAAUUCCACGUGUAGCGGUGAAAUGCGUAGAGAUGUGGAGGAACACCAGUGGCGAAGGCGACUCUCUGGGCUGUAACUGACGCUGAGGCGCGAAAGCGUGGGGAGCAAACAGGAUUAGAAACCCCCGUAGUCC
Molecule: ribosomal RNA, 272 nt
Filed under: uncultured bacterium
Lineage: Bacteria
Description: partial 16S ribosomal RNA
Rfam family: Bacterial small subunit ribosomal RNA
Source: RNAcentral